GAUGAAGCACGCGAUCACUACCCGCUCACCAAUCCGUCAUGAGUCUGAGGCAGCAAGACAAAGUAGUCUACGAAAAUGUGAACCGGAGGUCGUUUUCUGUCUUUGGUUAUCUAGCUGUAUGAGUGUUAAAUACCUGUCAUAAAGCUAGAUAACCGAAAGUAGAAAUUACUUCCACAUUCUUGUUCUGGUGGAAAAUAAGGCCUAGGGUAUGCCUACAACUAAGUUAGGCCUUUUGACAAGUUUCGCCAAGUUCCACCUCAAAGGCGACUCGUUCACAACAUGGUGUGUUCAAGGAGCACAAAUAGGGGACAGAAUCAUCAACAAAAAGCGAAUGAGGAGGUGAAUUGCCACACAAUACCCCACCCCCUUUACCCACCGGCCUCUAAUGCCAUCUGUACUGCAAAAUGGGAGACAAGAGACGCCGUGCCUAUGCCAAGAGGGGGACAAAGCCAGAUCUCCAGAGGAUGGGCACGCUGAGAGCAGAGAGAGGAGCCAUCUUGGGAGACAUUGCUGCAGAACCUAAGAUGGCUGGGCUGGCAUAAGACGUUUGGAUGUGGAGUGGUCAGUAGGGAGGGAGAUUCUGCAUACUCUAUUGGUGUUCCGGUACAGUAUGGACCAAACCACUAAACAACCAUCAGACUGUUGGAAACCAUCUCUGUCACUGUCAUACAAAGUUUAUACAACCAGAGGACCACGACAAGGAAGAGGGAAGAUUUGUGCAAUUUAGUUUUAUUUGUGUGUUUUUUGUUAGCAAUAGUGUAAUGAUUCGAUUUUCUUUUUUACUACAAUUUGUUUCUAUUUGUCUUUGUUACUUCUUUUUUAUAUUUAUUAUUUGAGUCUUAUUUUUGUAUAUAUUUAUAUAGUUU
This is a non-coding RNA of Salmo salar (Atlantic salmon), 866 nucleotides long. The record is from RefSeq and is a predicted model, not a curated record. NCBI's taxonomy places the organism in Eukaryota, Metazoa, Chordata, Actinopteri, Salmoniformes, Salmonidae.